RNAcentral lists this long non-coding RNA (271 nucleotides) under Lathyrus oleraceus (garden pea). RNAcentral describes it as "Pisum sativum (pea) long non-coding RNA (PSAT_LNC014993)". Lineage: Eukaryota; Viridiplantae; Streptophyta; Magnoliopsida; Fabales; Fabaceae. The record is from RNAcentral.
GAGCUUAGAGAUUGCCGGAUUAACUCAGGUAAGGGGGGUUUAUCGUCGAUUAAUGGGUAUUAUGGGAUAAUAUGUGAUGGGUAGUGAUAAGCCGUUAAUUUGACCCUAAUUGGGAUUAUUGAUGCUGAAGAAUUAUGUUGGAUAAAUUGUAUUUAGACUGUAAUUGAUUCUGUGUUUGGGUUAGUUGUGAAAUUCCGAACGUAUAGCUUUUACGGAAUCGGAAUCGGAGGUCCGGAAGUCCUCCAACGGCGGAAAAUGCGGAGAAUUCUGC